UACGAAGGGGGCGAGCGUUGUUCGGAGUUACUGGGCGUAAAGGGCGCGUAGGCGGCGAUCCAAGUUAGGCGUGAAAGCCCCGGGCUUAACCUGGGAAUGGCGUUUGGGACUGGGAGUCUGGAGUGCGGCAGAGGAGACUGGAAUUCCUGGUGUAGCAGUGAAAUGCGUAGAUAUCAGGAGGAACACCGAUGGCGAAGGCAGGUCUCUGGGCUGACACUGACGCUCAUGCACGAAAGCGUGGGGAGCAAACAGG
This 253-nucleotide ribosomal RNA is filed under the name uncultured bacterium. Its description in RNAcentral is "partial 16S ribosomal RNA". It matches the Rfam family "Bacterial small subunit ribosomal RNA", at positions 524 to 776 of the family's 1533-position model. The record is from RNAcentral.